Molecule: ribosomal RNA, 404 nt
Filed under: uncultured bacterium
Lineage: Bacteria
Description: bacterial SSU rRNA
Rfam family: Bacterial small subunit ribosomal RNA
Source: RNAcentral
AGAGUUUGAUCCUGGCUCAGAUUGAACGCUGGCGGAAUGCUUUACACAUGCAAGUCGAGCGGCAGCGCGGGGGCAACCCUGGCGGCGAGCGGCGAACGGGUGAGUAAUGUAUCGGAACGUACCCAGUCGUGGGGGAUAACUAUCCGAAAGGAUAGCUAAUACCGCAUACGUCCUGAGGGAGAAAGCGGGGGAUCGCAAGACCUCGCGCGAUUGGAGCGGCCGAUAUCGGAUUAGCUAGUUGGUGAGGUAAAGGCUCACCAAGGCGACGAUCCGUAGCUGGUCUGAGAGGACGACCAGCCACACUGGAACUGAGACACGGUCCAGACUCCUACGGGAGGCAGCAGUGGGGAAUUUUGGACAAUGGGGGCAACCCUGAUCCAGCCAUUCCGCGUGAGUGAAGAAGG